UACGGAGGAGGCAAGCGUUAUCCGGAAUUAUUGGGCGUAAAGCGUCCGUAGGUGGUUAGCCAAGUCAGCGGUUAAAGCGUGGAGCUUAACUCCAUAAGGGCCGUUGAAACUGGUUAGCUAGAGUGCGAUAGGGGCAAGGGGAAUUCCCAGUGUAGCGGUGAAAUGCGUAGAUAUUGGGAAGAACAUCGGUGGCGAAAGCGCCUUGCUGGGUCUGCACUGACACUGAGGGACGAAAGCUAGGGGAGCGAAA
RNAcentral lists this ribosomal RNA (250 nucleotides) under uncultured bacterium. RNAcentral describes it as "partial 16S ribosomal RNA". It matches the Rfam family "Bacterial small subunit ribosomal RNA", at positions 524 to 773 of the family's 1533-position model. The record is from RNAcentral.